Bubalus bubalis (water buffalo) is the source of this 2281-nucleotide long non-coding RNA. RefSeq lists it as uncharacterized. The record is from RefSeq and is a predicted model, not a curated record. NCBI's taxonomy places the organism in Eukaryota, Metazoa, Chordata, Mammalia, Artiodactyla, Bovidae. The transcript is spliced from 3 exons.
UGCCGUCUAUGGGGUUGCACAGAGUCCGACACGACUGAAGUGACCUAGCAGCAGCAGCAGCAUAGAGACGAGAGCCAAAUGUCUGUGUGUUUUGGAAGAGAUUAAUAAAACUGACAAACCUCUGGUGAGACUGAUCAAGAAAAAAAAAGAGAAAGCCUGAAUAAGCAAAGGCAGGGAUAAAAAGGGAGAAUACAGAGAACUGUAAAUUUUUCUUCUCUGAACAUACACUGACCUUCUUGCUCUCUGCUAUUCUGAGAAUAGCUCACUCCUAAAUUCCUGACUCAACAAUUCUGAGAACAGGAAUGUAACAGUCACGAUGAGCCAGAUCAGAAAGAAGCACAACUCAUUUCUGUAAGAUUGCAAUACCUAAAAAAAAAAAAAAAAAUCACAAUACCUACCAUACAAAACCCACCAAAACUGCAGUUUUCAGUGCUGCUUUUGUUUCUUUGCCCUAUAAGACCUCCUCAUUCCUCAUGUUUGGGGAGAGAUUCCCUUUAAAUCUUUCCCUAUUACAACAGUGUGAAUAAAUUCCCUUGAAGUCUCAGCAGAUUUCCAAAGUUUUGUGUUACAAAUGCUACAGACAUUAAAACAAUAAGAUAUUAUAUCACAGUUUUGUGCCAAUAAAUUAGAAAUUUUAUUUGAACUGAGAAAAUUCCUAGGCGGUAAGAAACAAAACUUACUAAAGGUCUCACAGUUGGGAGGAGUAUGGGAAAGAUUCUGAAGUGAGUUCAGUCCUUAUGGAACUCAUAGGAGGAGUGAGUGGAGAGAGAAGCAAUAGAGAAGGAAGGGAAAACCUUAAUAAACAGUGAGUUUGAAAAAGCUUUCCAUAGGAGUACACUCUAUUUCUAGCUAAUUUGUCUGAAAGCAAAAGCCUGAAAAAUAAUUUCAUCAGGGUUUAUGUACAGAGAUGCUAUGGGUAAAAAGUACUGAAUAUCAGUCAUGAAAUGCAAGGGAAAUUUUCCCUCAUGAGAUUAAAAAAUGAGAAAUGGUCACCUAAGGAUCAACUAGCUGAGAACAGACAGUUGGGACCUGAAGUCUGUCUGCAUCAGGACCUUAAGGUUUCCUAGGGAAUUCCCUGGCCUGGGAAGUCUCUCCAUGCCUCUUCCCCAACCUCAGCUGAGGGCCUUGACUGGAGACAUGCAGAAGGAAGUCAGAAUAUUUAACUCCAUUUUUCUUUCCAUUGAGUGUUCCUGGCAGUUCUUCUCAGGCUGUGAAUAGUAUCAGUUAUGCUCAGGAAGGAGUUUGUGUGAAUCCCACGCAGAGAGGCAACACAGAGUGGUAGCCAAGAGCAGUCUCUCUGCCAUGAAGCUGGGGUUCAAGUAAGGACUCUCACUUAUUCCCAGAUGACUAAGCAAGUAACUAAACCUUCUGUUUUCUUUGCUCAUGUGUCCUCAUCUACCUCUUGUUGGGAUAAUAAUGGUAACAACCUCAGAGGUUGUAAUGAGGGUUGGGGAGGUUAGUGUUAUUAGAGCCCUUAGAAAUGUGCUUGGAAUGAGAAGCAUUUGUAGAAGGGUGUGGGAAGUAAGUCUGACAGUGUGGUGGCCCCUGUCCAAGGAUUCAUACAUCUAGACAGACACUCAGGCAAUGGAAUACAGCCCCAUCUUCAAGCCAAGAAAAUCCCCCAAGGACCACCCCACACAAGAUUUGAGAAGAAAUAUUUUUUUGGAUAUGUUUACUCUGUGGUAUUUGCUUCUAAGCAAGCAAUCCAUUGUUUCUAAGCAAAUACGCUUUUUUUUUUUUUUUUUUCUGGAAAAGCGGUCAACAAGAAGAGCCUCCAGCUCUAGUCCAGUGACCCAGAGUGUUGGGUUGAUCAAGGGCUGCUUCCCACUUGCUUCUCUGGCUAGGCAGCCUGCCCACUCAUGCUGUACACAGUUUUCUCCCGACUGCCUCCCUAUCCCUCUGUUUUCUUGGUAAUAGGCAUGCUGGAGACUACUGAAGGAAGGAUUGGUGAGAGCUAAGCUUCUACUAUCUUAACCAUGGCUGUUUUGGUUAACUGUUCCUGAAGACUUCAGAGAAUAAAAGGAGGCCCUGGAAUGACAGGAGAAGUUCCUCUGAUCUGGGUUAAAGGAGAUAAAGAAGAUGAGAGUAAAAAUCAAUGAAACUGUAACACAACAGAGAGGAUCAAAAGUCAAGUAACAUCAGCUUUUUUGGAUUAUUGCAAUCAAUGCAAAGAAAUAGAGGGAAACAACAGAAUGGGAAAGACUAGAGAUCUCUUCAAGAAAAUUAGAGAUACCAAGGGAACAUUUCAUGCAAAGAUGGGCUCGAUAAAGGACAGAAAUGG